AGAGUUUGAUCCUGGCUCAGGACGAACGCUGGCGGCGUGCCUAAUACAUGCAAGUCGAACGAAACUUUCUUACACCGAAUGCUUGCAUUCACCGUAAGAAGUUGAGUGGCGGACGGGUGAGUAACACGUGGGUAACCUGCCUAAAAGAAGGGGAUAACACUUGGAAACAGGUGCUAAUACCGUAUAUCUCUAAGGAUCGCAUGAUCCUUAGAUGAAAGAUGGUUCUGCUAUCGCUUUUAGAUGGACCCGCGGCGUAUUAACUAGUUGGUGGGGUAACGGCCUACCAAGGUGAUGAUACGUAGCCGAACUGAGAGGUUGAUCGGCCACAUUGGGACUGAGACACGGCCCAAACUCCUACGGGAGGCAGCAGUAGGGAAUCUUCCACAAUGGACGCAAGUCUGAUGGAGCAACGCCGCGUGAGUGAAGAAGGUCUUCGGA
RNAcentral lists this ribosomal RNA (438 nucleotides) under Ligilactobacillus salivarius. RNAcentral describes it as "bacterial SSU rRNA". It matches the Rfam family "Bacterial small subunit ribosomal RNA", at positions 8 to 422 of the family's 1533-position model. Lineage: Bacteria; Bacillati; Bacillota; Bacilli; Lactobacillales; Lactobacillaceae. The record is from RNAcentral.